RNAcentral lists this long non-coding RNA (1132 nucleotides) under Olea europaea (common olive). Its description in RNAcentral is "long non-coding RNA (OEUR_LNC001570)". Lineage: Eukaryota; Viridiplantae; Streptophyta; Magnoliopsida; Lamiales; Oleaceae. The record is from RNAcentral.
CCUGUGGUUGAUUCAUAAUAAUGGAUAACUCAUCUCUUUUGGUACACAGGUCUAGUUUUGGAGCCCUUCAAGGUUUUCUAAAUGUAGAAGCUGGAAUGGACAACUGAUCUUUACAUGUAAUGUGUGUAUGUGUGUGUGGUAUAUACACAUCUCAAUUUUUGUCUUCAGUAUUAGGCAAGAUUCCACACACCUUUGGUAGUCCCGGUUGUCCAUUUAUGCAUGUGAAAUGUUCUGUGAGUCUUCCUUGGUCACCCUCAUUCAGAUGGAAAUGAGAAAAGUGACAAGCUUGUUACAAUUCCAUUGGUCCUCAGAAGUGACAUCCAGCAAGAUAUGUUUUAGGAAUUAAGUUCCUUGUACUGAUGAAGUGUACCAGAAGCUUACAGAUGAUGAGGGUGGGUUGGCUGGUUUAAAUUUGGUUUUUGUCCAACAUUCAAUGAAAUCGUGCCACUCAUAAUAAUGGAUAACUCAUCUCUUUUGGUACACAGGUCUAGUUUUGGAGCCCUUCAAGGUUUUCUAAAUGUAGAAGCUGGAACGGACAACUGAUCUUUACAUGUAAUGUGUGUGUGUGUGUGUGUGUGUGGUAUAUACACAUCUCAAUUUUUGUCUUCAGUAUUAGGCAAGAUUCCACACACCUUUGGUAGUCCCGGUUGUCCAUUUAUGCAUGUGAAAUGUUCUGUGAGUCUUCCUUGGUCACCCUCAUUCAGAUGGAAAUGAGAAAAGUGACAAGCUUGUUACAAUUCCAUUGGUCCUCAGAAGUGACAUCCAGCAAGAUAUGUUUUAGGAAUUAAGUUCCUUGUACUGAUGAAGUGUACCAGAAGCUUACAGAUGAUGAGGGUGGGUUGGCUGGUUUAAAUUUGGUUUUUGUCCAACAUUCAAUGAAAUCGUGCCACUGACAGUCUGUCAAACUGUGCAAAAAUCUCCAGCAUGAUUGAUGUUUUAGCCCUCCACCAGUGUCGGCUACUAUUUUAUAGCAUAUAUUAAGCAACAAAGACAACAAACAACAAAAAUAUGUGAACCCUUUUUGGUCAUUCCAUUCGGCUCAUUACUUAUAUAUGUACACAAGAUAUAUGAUAUACAUGCCAAAAACAGACAAGUUACAAAGAUUUAAUAUUUAUGUAUGCACACAAAAUAU